AUGCUAAGACUUUUCAGGUGCGGCAAGUCACUACUGAAGAAAUUAUCUGCAACCAUGCACUGGUAUAUACAGAGCUCCUCAAGAGACGACGGCAAUAAACCUGCUCCAUGUGUCAAAUCUAAAGAAGGGCAGGAAAUCAAUCUAACUUCUGAAAGAGAGGUAGCAGAUCGUAAGCCUCCUAAUGACUUGAAACACCAGCAAUAUCUGAUGAACAAAAAGUCCAGCUUUGUCAAAUGUUGGAAGACCGCUUGUGACGGAAGUGUAGUUAAAGUCAUGAUCUACAUUAAGAACAAACUUCUCAGUGACGUGAGACCACCAAGGCAAACAGCUAAUGCCUCAUCUGUAACACUGCAUGAAGAAAGACGAAGUGCGCGAAGACCUGAUGGUGGAACCAACGGCAAGUUGAUGCUUCUACCAUAA
Molecule: ribosomal RNA, 420 nt
Filed under: Triticum aestivum (bread wheat)
Lineage: Eukaryota; Viridiplantae; Streptophyta; Magnoliopsida; Poales; Poaceae
Description: partial small subunit ribosomal RNA
Source: RNAcentral